AUGCCGGCUGGCGUCAAGUUCGAUCCCACGGAUCAGGAGCUGAUCGAGCACCUCGAGGCCAAAGUCAGUGCUGACAGCGCGAUAUCUCACCCUCUCAUCGAUUUAUUCAUACCAACCAUCGACAGUGAGCACGGCAUAUGCUACACCCAACCUGAGAAACUUCCAGGUAUCACACAGAGUGGCCUAAGGAAGCAUAUCUUCCAGCGCAAUUCCAGGGCAUUCAAAAGGGGCACGUGGACGCGUUGCAAGAUACAGUCGGAGUGCGGCAUGCACACAAUGUGGCACAACACCGGCAAUCCCUUGCAGCAGAGGACCAACUGGGUGAUGCACCAGUACCACCUCGGGGACCUGGAGCAAGAGAAGGAGCGAGAGCUGGCUCUCUGCAAGAUUUUGUACCAGACAAACACUAGGGCCAGGAGUAAAAAGAUUAUAAGUUAG
Molecule: ribosomal RNA, 438 nt
Filed under: Triticum aestivum (bread wheat)
Lineage: Eukaryota; Viridiplantae; Streptophyta; Magnoliopsida; Poales; Poaceae
Description: partial small subunit ribosomal RNA
Source: RNAcentral